This is an RNA transcript of Carlito syrichta (Philippine tarsier), 664 nucleotides long. It is a transcript of the gene named eukaryotic translation initiation factor 3 subunit K-like, with no coding region annotated. The transcript is spliced from 2 exons. Lineage: Eukaryota; Metazoa; Chordata; Mammalia; Primates; Tarsiidae. The record is from RefSeq and is a predicted model, not a curated record.
UUCAUUUCUAGCCCUAGUUGUGGAACACAACCGUAGUCAUGGCAAUGUCUGAGCAGAUGAAGGCAAAUGUGGGCAAGUUGCUCAGGGGUAUUGACAGGUACAAUCCUGAAAACCUGGCCACCUUGAAGAACUAUGUGGAGACACAGGAAAAGGAGAAUGCCUAUGAUCUGGAAGCCAACCUGGCUGUUCUGAAGUUGUACCAGUUCAACCUAGCCUUCUUUCAGACCAUAGUCACUGCCCAUAUUCUGCUGAAGACCCUCACCAACCUGCCCCACACUGGCUUUACCCUGUGCAAGUGCAUGAUUGACCAGGCACAUCAAGAAGAGCAGCCAAUCCCACAGAUUUUGUACCUUGGGAACCUGCUGGAGACUUGCCACUUCAAGGCCUUCUGGCAAGCCUUUGAUGAAAACAUGGACCUCUUGACAGGGAUAACUGGCUUUGAAGACUCUGUCUGAAAAUUUAUCUGCUAUAGGUAGCUGAAGGUGUGGAUGAGCAAGUACAGCUGGAGUGCUGAGGAGUCGGGACAGAUCUUCAUCUGUAGCCAGGAGGAGAGCAUUAAGCCCAAGAAUACCGUGGAGAAGAUUGACUUUGACAGUGUAUCCAGUAUCAUGGCCUCCUCCCAGUAACUACAGACUUCUAAUAAAGAUUGUUGACUUAAAAAAAA